CUGCUGCAAUUGCUUCCGCAGCCCCCUUUUCAAGUCUUCUUCACUGUCUGCAAAAGUAUCCCAAUACACUUUUGCAUGGCUCCUCAGAGAGCAGUAGGAAUAGGAGGAAAGGAAGGAUUUUCUGUCAGAAAUAUGUCAAGGCAGAAACCAAGGCCUAGAAGAGUUAAGUAAUUUGUCCAAGAUCACAGAGCACUAAUAAUUCAAAGUGGAUAAGAAUUCUGAACAAUAAAGAAUGGAAAAACGUAGAAGACAACUUACCUGAAGUCUUGCCAGUUGUGCGGUGCGUG
Molecule: long non-coding RNA, 287 nt
Organism: Dromiciops gliroides (monito del monte)
Lineage: Eukaryota; Metazoa; Chordata; Mammalia; Microbiotheria; Microbiotheriidae
Exons: 3
Source: RefSeq, a predicted model, not a curated record